GACGAACGCUGGCGGCGUGCUUAACACAUGCAAGUCGAACGGAAAGGCUCCAGCUUGCUGGAGUACUCGAGUGGCGAACGGGUGAGUAACACGUGGGUAAUCUGCCCUGCACUCUGGGAUAAGCCUGGGAAACUGGGUCUAAUACUGGAUAUGACCUUUCUCCUUAUGGGGUUUGGUGGAAAGUUUUUCGGUGUAGGAUGAGCCCGCGGCCUAUCAGCUUGUUGGUGGGGUGAUGGCCUACCAAGGCGACGACGGGUAGCCGGCCUGAGAGGGUGAUCGGCCACAUUGGGACUGAGAUACGGCCCAGACUGCUACGGGAGGCAGCAGUGGGGAAUAUUGCACAAUGGGCGGAAGCCUGAUGCAGCGACGCCGCGUGAUGGAUGACGGCCUUCGGGUUGUAACCCUCUUUCAGCAGGGACGAAGCGUAAGUGACGGUACCUUCAGAAGAAGCACCGGCUAACUACGUG
Molecule: ribosomal RNA, 467 nt
Filed under: uncultured bacterium
Lineage: Bacteria
Description: partial 16S ribosomal RNA
Rfam family: Bacterial small subunit ribosomal RNA
Source: RNAcentral